GACGACCGGCGCACGGGUGAGUAACGCGUAUGUAACCUUCCUUUAACUGGGGAAUAGCCCGGAGAAAUUCGGAUUAAUACCCCAUAACAUUGCGGAGAGGCAUCUUUCUGCAAUUAAAGCUCCGGCGGUUAAAGAUGGGCAUGCGUGCCAUUAGCUAGUUGGUGAGGUAACGGCUCACCAAGGCUACGAUGGUUAGGGGGUCUGAGAGGAUGAUCCCCCACACUGGUACUGAGACACGGACCAGACUCCUACGGGAGGCAGCAGUGAGGAAUAUUGGGCAAUGGGCGCAAGCCUGACCCAGCCAUGCCGCGUGAAGGAUGAAUGCCCUAUGGGUUGUAAACUUCUUUUAUACGAGACGAAUCUUCCGAACGUGUUCGGAACUGACUGUAUCGUACGAAUAAGCAUCGGCUAACUCCGUGCCAGCAGCCGCGGUAAUACGGAGGAUGCAAGCGUUAUCCGGAUUCAUUGGGUUUAAAGGGUGCGUAGGCGGAAGAAUAAGUCAGUGGUGAAAGCCUGCGGCUUAACCGUAGAAUUGCCAUUGAUACUGUUUUUCUUGAGUAUAGUUGAGGUGGGCGGAAUGUGUAAUGUAGCGGUGAAAUGCUUAGAUAUUACACAGAACACCAAUUGCGAAGGCAGCUCACUAAGCUGUUACUGACGCUGAGGCACGAAAGCGUGGGGAGCAAACAGGAUUAGAUACCCUGGUAGUCCACG
RNAcentral lists this ribosomal RNA (711 nucleotides) under uncultured bacterium. RNAcentral describes it as "bacterial SSU rRNA". It matches the Rfam family "Bacterial small subunit ribosomal RNA", at positions 90 to 799 of the family's 1533-position model. The record is from RNAcentral.